This 533-nucleotide ribosomal RNA is filed under the name Dikarya sp. SHW09. RNAcentral describes it as "eukaryotic LSU rRNA". The stretch from base 171 to 324 matches the Rfam family "5.8S ribosomal RNA". Lineage: Eukaryota; Fungi. The record is from RNAcentral.
CAUUACACAAAUAUGAAGGCGGGCUGGAACCUCUCGGGGUUACAGCCUUGCUGAAUUAUUCACCCUUGUCUUUUGCGUACUUCUUGUUUCCUUGGUGGGUUCGCCCACCACUAGGACAAACAUAAACCUUUUGUAAUUGCAAUCAGCGUCAGUAACAAAUUAAUAAUUACAACUUUCAACAACGGAUCUCUUGGUUCUGGCAUCGAUGAAGAACGCAGCGAAAUGCGAUAAGUAGUGUGAAUUGCAGAAUUCAGUGAAUCAUCGAAUCUUUGAACGCACAUUGCGCCCUUUGGUAUUCCAAAGGGCAUGCCUGUUCGAGCGUCAUUUGUACCCUCAAGCUUUGCUUGGUGUUGGGCGUCUUGUCUCUAGCUUUGCUGGAGACUCGCCUUAAAGUAAUUGGCAGCCGGCCUACUGGUUUCGGAGCGCAGCACAAGUCGCACUCUCUAUCAGCAAAGGUCUAGCAUCCAUUAAGCCUUUUUUUCAACUUUUGACCUCGGAUCAGGUAGGGAUACCCGCUGAACUUAAGCAUAUCA